UCUUUUUCCUGGAGGUGGGGAGGUGGGACUGACAGUUCCAACCCUCUAAUCAGACCAUUGGUUGGUUCCUGUUGUCACAUUCAAUGAAGGCGAGAUCAUUCAUCAGUUUAAAAUUAUUUCAAUUUUGAAAAGCCCCCAUCCUUAGGGGCUUUUCAAAAGUCUCCUCAUUAACAUAAACUCAGAUGUGAUUGAAAAAGACUUCUUAUGAAUAACAACAACAAAAAAAACACCUGUUUCACUUUUAUCACUCUGGAGCUAUUUCAGGAAUUGAGGACAAAACCAAAUAUUAUAACAAAAUGUGCCCCUGUUGCUCUAAUUACUUAGGAAAUCACAAGGGUUUGGGGAGCUCUGAGCCAGAAACACAAAAACCAGAUAUAUAUUUCUUAUCAUAAAUCAUAACGUCACAAACAGCAACAGAAAGUUAGAACCGACGUACAGAAUACAACUAUGUCAAUUAGAAAUUUGAAUAUGUAGCCAUAAAAAGAGCCAUAAAUCAGGUUAUUUGUUUUUAAAGCUUCAUUCUGCUGAAUUUGUAGAGGUAAGUCUUAGAUUCCAGGGGACCCACAGCAGAGCAUUUGGAAGAAGUUGAGUAGUAGGUGGAGGUGGAAUCCUGUGGAACACUGAUGUUUGGAUGAGCAAAGAAGGUGAUGAGAAAGACUGAGGAGAAAAUGUAAGUGCUUGAGAAGAACCAGAAGAGUCUUAAGCCAAGAAAGUAGAAAAUUUGAGGAGAUAAGUAGUUAACCGUGUCAAGUGCAGCAAAGCCCUCCAGUAACAAACUGAAAAGAGACCACGGAAGUGGGCAGUGUGGAGAUGUUAAUGGCAUAUCCACAUAGAACCCCAGUGCACCUCAAAUUCCAAGUCACAAUUCCCAGUUCAUCAUCCUUCUCUCCAAUCACACUCUUCCUCCUGCAUUUUCUAUUUUAAUUUUUGGCAUCUAGCCACCAAAGCUAGAAAGCUGAGAAUAAUUAUAUGCUCCUAGAACACCCACAUCCACUCAAUUUCAUGCAGAUUUCUAUUCCGGAAUAUUUCUCAGAUCCUCCUCUCCUAUCCAUCUGUACCCCAAAGCUGUAAUUUGGGCCCUUGUUAGCAUUUGCCUUGAGUGUUUUAUGACCUCCUGACCAGUCUCCUUGCCUCUGGUCUUGUUUCUGUAAAUCUGUACUAGUUAUCUAUGUCUGCAUAACAAAUUAUCUUAUACUUGUAACUUAAAACAACAAUAAAAACAUAUUAUCUCUCACUGUUCCUGUGGGCCAGGAAUUCAGGGAAAGCUCAGCUGUGUGGUUCUGUUGUGAAGUUGUCGUCAAGACGUUGGCUGGAGCUGCAGUUGACUGAACCCUUGACCAGGGCUGGAGAAUCCACUUCCAAGAUGGCUCCCAUGCAUGGCUCCAGACUCACUGGAGACAUCCUGACACAGUAUGCUUUGCCUAGCACAAUGUGAUGCCCUUUACCUAGUAAGAGUGAGUCUCAUAAAGGUGCUGCCUUCCCCCGCAGAACAAACAGCGGAAAUGCAUCAGGAGAGCUCAGCUGCAGACAGAAUGCACAUCGUGAAGCAGGAGCCACCACGGGAUUGCUUAGAUGAAAGCCGAUUUCAAUGAACAUUGUGUUUCAAAGCCUGCUUCCUCUUGCGCCGUAAGAGCUGCAGAAGGAACAUCCCACUUGCGUCUGCUGACACAAAAGAAUGCUGUGGUUGGGAGAUCUUAUCAAGCCUUCCUGUGCCACAGUAACAGAGCUCCACUUGUGUCUUGUAAGAAUUGCUCAUUGUUUCAUGGGGACGACUGGCUCCUUUGGGUGGGAUCUGACGGCAUCUCAUGGAAUGGAGGUAGGUGGUGUUGGGAGAUCAGCCAGCCACAUGACCCAGCUUGCUGGCUUUGGGGAAGUCAGAGAGAGGAACAGACUUCACCCAGGUCUGUUGAAUAGCUAAGCAUUUAAGGUUAAACGAUUAAAAUAGGCAUUUUUGUUUACUACUAUCUUCAACUGUGUAUGUUAAGAACAAAAAAUAAAAAUGAUGGUCAGAGUUUCUCUGUUGGUAUAAGCUGUUUCUUCUCUUUUAAUCAACUCACCUAAAGCUGUCUCAUUCUGAUAAAAUUGAAAAGAAUAAAGGAGAAUUUUUUUGAAAACAGAAAUGUACUGAUUUAAAGCCAUCUCUGGAAAAGUUAGAUGCUAAUAAGUACAUACAUUAGCAUUUAUCACAUAAACCUCAAAAACAUAUAUGUUUUACAAGGAUGAACCUAGGGUUUAAAAUUAUUGACUUUAUAUUUAAAAGUGUAAGUUAAUAAUAUUGGAUUAAUUAAAUUUGGCCAAUUCUAGAUGAUGUAUCCUUUGCUUAGAAAGUUUGUGGCUUCCCAGUUUAGGCCUCUUCUAAUAGCGAAAAUUGAUGAUUACCUGUUUAGCUAUAUGGAGAGUAGAAUUAGAAUUUUUUUCUCUUUUCUCUUCCUUUCUAAAGGUUUGCUGAGUAAUUAGUACAUAUAAGAAAUAUAUAACUAGAUAUGAUAUGAUAUGGUAUGAUAUGCCAAGGAAAAAGGGUGACCAUGAGUUUCCUAAAGGGACAAUGCUUGAGAUUAACAUUUUUAAUCUCUCCCCCCUGUAUCCCCAUGUAGUACUUUCUGAAGUGCCCUUUGCCCUAAAUGUACUCAUAUUCAGUUAUUUCAAUAACAAAAAUUAUCUUCCUCUUACUCUGUAUAAGGUCCUAAAAUCAAAAUAUUACCAAAACACCAUCUUUGUUCUUAAUGCAUUUAUUAAAAUUAUCAAAUGUUGUAAUUUGUUUUCUCUUAGUGAACUGUGAGCCUCUUGAAGAAAGACAUUGGGUCACAUUCAUCUUCUUGUCUCCACUGCUGAGCACAAUGUCUUGUUCAUAUUGGUGUUGACUAAAUAUUUACUGAAUGGAUGAAUAGAUGGAUGGAUGGAUGGAUGGAUGAAUGGAUGGACGGGUGAAUGGCUGGCUCUGCUGUAGUGCCUACAGUUACACAGGGGGAAUUGAUUCAGGUUGUCUACAUGGUUCUUGGCAUGACAACACCUGUUCCUUCUCUAGGCCUUUAUUAUCCCACUCUUAGAUGCAUAGACUGAAGAGAUUCUCAAGAUCCCAUAAUCCAGCUCCUUCAGUUUACAGUUGAGGAAAUGAGACUCAGAAACAGAAUCUGAUUUAUUCACAGUCCCACAGCUGACAGGUGCCAGAUCCGGGUUAAACCCAGUUCUCCUGCUUCUGGUCAAAUGUCCACUGCGUUAUGUUGCUUUCCAUGACUCAUAGUUGGAGGCUUUAAGGGACCCUUUGUGGCUGCUGAAUUCAUGUGCUGAUGGUGCUGAAGCAAGGUAAGAACAAGAACGACUCAUCUCUAUUCAGGCUGACAUCUAUUCAGGCCACACUCAAACUUCAGUGGGUGGUGUCUGGUCCCUCCCUAGUCUCCUAGAUAACCUUUGGAGAUGGCGCAGUCCAGCCCUAUUCCACUGGUCAAGAUUUCUCUUUUACACAGAGUCCAGCCUUUCAAAGCCCUUUCCAAAGAAGCUCGUGCUC
Aethalodelphis obliquidens (Pacific white-sided dolphin) is the source of this 3505-nucleotide long non-coding RNA. RefSeq lists it as uncharacterized. The record is from RefSeq and is a predicted model, not a curated record. The transcript is spliced from 2 exons. Lineage: Eukaryota; Metazoa; Chordata; Mammalia; Artiodactyla; Delphinidae.